Molecule: unclassified non-coding RNA, 209 nt
Filed under: plant metagenome
Description: partial contains small subunit ribosomal RNA and internal transcribed spacer 1
Rfam family: Eukaryotic small subunit ribosomal RNA (bases 1-47)
Source: RNAcentral
AAGUCGUAACAAGGUUUCCGUAGGUGAACCGUGCGGAAGGAUCAUUGACGAACAACGGGGCCUCGCCCCUUGUCCACAAACACACCCCGUCGCACAUCGAGGCUCGUUGAGUGGGUGGCGACCGCCCAGGAUUCGUAGCCUCGCUUUCUUACACAAACUUCGGAAUGUAUAUCGGAAUGUCUUACGCGCUGUAACGCAUCGUAAUAUAA